GAUGAAGAACGUAGCGAAAUGCGAUAAGUAAUGUGAAUUGCAGAAUUCAGUGAAUCAUCGAAUCUUUGAACGCACAUUGCGCCCGCCAGUAUUCUGGCGGGCAUGCCUGUCCGAGCGUCAUUUCAACCAUCAAGCCCCCGGGCUUGUGUUGGGGACCUGCGGCUGCCCGCAGGCCCUGAAAACCAGUGGCGGGCUCGCUGUCACACCGAGCGUAGUAGCAAUCACCUCGCUCAGGGCGUGCUGCGGGUUCCGGCCGUUAAACAGCCUUACACACCCCAAGGUUGACCUCGGAUCAGGUAGGAAGACCAGCUGAACUUAAGCAUAUCAAUAAGCGGAGGA
Molecule: unclassified non-coding RNA, 339 nt
Filed under: soil metagenome
Description: partial contains 5.8S ribosomal RNA, internal transcribed spacer 2, and large subunit ribosomal RNA
Rfam family: 5.8S ribosomal RNA (bases 1-120)
Source: RNAcentral